CACGUAGGGCGCGAGCGUUGUCCGGAAUUAUUGGGCGUAAAGAGCUCGUAGGCGGCCUGUUGCGUCCGCUGUGAAAGCCCGGGGCUUAACCCCGGGUCGGCAGUGGAUACGGGCAGGCUAGAGGUAGGUAGGGGAGAAUGGAAUUCCCGGUGUAGCGGUGAAAUGCGCAGAUAUCGGGAGGAACACCGGUGGCGAAGGCGGAUCUCUGGGCCUUACCUGACGCUGAGGCGCGAAAGCUAGGGGAGCAAACAGG
RNAcentral lists this ribosomal RNA (253 nucleotides) under uncultured bacterium. RNAcentral's name for it is "partial 16S ribosomal RNA". It matches the Rfam family "Bacterial small subunit ribosomal RNA", at positions 524 to 776 of the family's 1533-position model. The record is from RNAcentral.